Molecule: unclassified non-coding RNA, 25 nt
Filed under: Mus musculus (house mouse)
Lineage: Eukaryota; Metazoa; Chordata; Mammalia; Rodentia; Muridae
Description: oocyte_clustered_small_RNA8481
Source: RNAcentral
UGGCAUCCAAGAUGGUUAAUAUUGU